CCUCCCACGACGUCGGCCGCGUCGACGUAAUACGUAGGUGGCAAGCGUUAUCCGGAUUUAUUGGGCGUAAAGCGAGCGCAGGCGGUUUUUUAAGGUCUGAUGUGAAAGCCCUCGGCUUAACCGAGGAAGUGCAUCGGAAACUGGGAAACUUGAGUGCAGAAGAGGACAGUGGAACUCCAUGUGUAGCGGUGAAAUGCGUAGAUAUAUGGAAGAACACCAGUGGCGAAGGCGGCUGUCUGGUCUGUAACUGACGCUGAGGCUCGAAAGCAUGGGUAGCGUAACAGGAUUAGAUACCCUGGUAGUCCAUGCCGUAAACGAUGAAUGCUAGGUGUUGGAGGGUUUCCGCCCUUCAGUGCCGCAGCUAACGCAUUAAGCAUUCCGCCUGGGGAGUACGACCGCAAGGUUGAAACUCAAAGGAAUUGACGGGUGGUCGACGCGGCCG
RNAcentral lists this ribosomal RNA (442 nucleotides) under uncultured compost bacterium. Its description in RNAcentral is "bacterial SSU rRNA". It matches the Rfam family "Bacterial small subunit ribosomal RNA", at positions 494 to 935 of the family's 1533-position model. The record is from RNAcentral.